ACGCUCGACACCUACGGGAGGCAGCAGUGAGGAAUAUUGGUCAAUGGGCGCAGGCCUGAACCAGCCAAGUAGCGUGAAGGAUGACUGCCCUAUGGGUUGUAAACUUCUUUUAUAUGGGAAUAAAGUUUUCCACGUGUGGAAUUUUGUAUGUACCAUAUGAAUAAGGAUCGGCUAACUCCGUGGCAGCAGCCGCGGUAAUCUGAGCGGGCUGGCAAGGC
RNAcentral lists this ribosomal RNA (218 nucleotides) under uncultured bacterium. RNAcentral's name for it is "partial 16S ribosomal RNA". It matches the Rfam family "Bacterial small subunit ribosomal RNA", at positions 328 to 539 of the family's 1533-position model. The record is from RNAcentral.